CACGCCGUAAACGAUGAUCACUAGAUGUUGGAGGAUUUGACCCCUUCAGUGUCGUAGCUAACGCGUUAAGUGAUCCGCCUGGGGAGUACGGUCGCAAGAUUAAAACUCAAAGAAAUUGACGGGGGCCCGCACAAGCGGUGGAGCAUGUGGUUUAAUUCGACGCAACGCGAAGAACCUUACCUAGGCUUGACAUCCAGGGAAUUUGCUAGAGAUAGCAGAGUGCCUUCGGGAAUCCUGAGACAGGUGC
RNAcentral lists this ribosomal RNA (247 nucleotides) under uncultured bacterium. Its description in RNAcentral is "partial 16S ribosomal RNA". It matches the Rfam family "Bacterial small subunit ribosomal RNA", at positions 796 to 1041 of the family's 1533-position model. The record is from RNAcentral.